GUUACCGAUGGAGGGCAGCGCGAGCGCGGCGGCGUGUCGCGCCAGUGCGUGGUGGUGGGGGUGGGGUAGAGGUGGGACAGUUACCGAUGGAGGGCAGCGCGAGCGCGGCGGCGUGUCGCGCCAGUGCGUGGUGGUGGGGGUGGGGUAGAGGUGGGACAGUUACCGAUGGAGGGCAGCGCGAGCGCGGCGGCGUGUCGCGCCAGUGCGUGGUGGUGGGGGUGGGGUAGAGGUGGGACAGUUACCGAUGGAGGGCAGCGCGAGCGCGGCGGCGUGUCGCGCCAGUGCGUGGUGGUGGGGGUGGGGUAGAGGUGGGACAGUUACCGAUGGAGGGCAGCGCGAGCGCGGCGGCGUGUCGCGCCAGUGCGUGGUGGUGGGGGUGGGGUAGAGGUGGGACAGUUACCGAUGGAGGGCAGCGCGAGCGCGGCGGCGUGUCGCGCCAGUGCGUGGUGGUGGGGGUGGGGUAGAGGUGGGACAGUUACCGAUGGAGGGCAGCGCGAGCGCGGCGGCGUGUCGCGCCAGUGCGUGGUGGUGGUGGUGGGGGUAGAGGUGGGACAGUUACCGAUGGAGGGCAGCGCGAGCGCGGCGGCGUGUCGCGCCAGUGCGUGGUGGUGGGGGUGGGGUAGAGGUGGGACAGUUACCGAUGGAGGGCAGCGCGAGCGCGGCGGCGUGUCGCGCCAGUGCGUGGUGGUGGGGGUGGGGUAGAGGUGGGACAGUUACCGAUGGAGGGCAGCGCGAGCGCGGCGGCGUGUCGCGCCAGUGCGUGGUGGUGGGGGUGGGGUAGAGGUGGGACAGUUACCGAUGGAGGGCAGCGCGAGCGCGGCGGCGUGUCGCGCCAGUGCGUGGUGGUGGUGGUGGGGGUAGAGGUGGGACAGUUACCGAUGGAGGGCAGCGCGAGCGCGGCGGCGUGUCGCGCCAGUGCGUGGUGGUGGGGGUGGGGUAGAGGUGGGACAGUUACCGAUGGAGGGCAGCGCGAGCGCGGCGGCGUGUCGCGCCAGUGCGUGGUGGUGGGGGUGGGGUAGAGGUGGGACAGUUACCGAUGGAGGGCAGCGCGAGCGCGGCGGCGUGUCGCGCCAGUGCGUGGUGGUGGGGGUGGGGUAGAGGUGGGACAGUUACCGAUGGAGGGCAGCGCGAGCGCGGCGGCGUGUCGCGCCAGUGCGUGGUGGUGGGGGUGGGGUAGAGGUGGGACAGUUACCGAUGGAGGGCAGCGCGAGCGCGGCGGCGUGUCGCGCCAGUGCGUGGUGGUGGGGGUGGGGGUAGAGGUGGGACAGUUACCGAUGGAGGGCAGCGCGAGCGCGGCGGCGUGUCGCGCCAGUGCGUGGUGGUGGGGGUAGAGGUGGGACAGUUACCGAUGGAGGGCAGCGCGAGCGCGGCGGCGUGUCGCGCCAGUGCGUGGUGGUGGGGGUAGAGGUGGGACAGUUACCGAUGGAGGGCAGCGCGAGCGCGGCGGCGUGUCGCGCCAGUGCGUGGUGGUGGGGGUGGGGGUAGAGGUGGGACAGUUACCGAUGGAGGGCAGCGCGAGCGCGGCGGCGUGUCGCGCCAGUGCGUGGUGGUGGGGGUAGAGGUGGGACAGUUACCGAUGGAGGGCAGCGCGAGCGCGGCGGCGUGUCGCGCCAGUGCGUGGUGGUGGGGGUGGGGGUAGAGGUGGGACAGUUACCGAUGGAGGGCAGCGCGAGCGCGGCGGCGUGUCGCGCCAGUGCGUGGUGGUGGGGGUGGGGGUAGAGGUGGGACAGUUACCGAUGGAGGGCAGCGCGAGCGCGGCGGCGUGUCGCGCCAGUGCGUGGUGGUGGGGGUGGGGGUAGAGGUGGGACAGUUACCGAUGGAGGGCAGCGCGAGCGCGGCGGCGUGUCGCGCCAGUGCGUGGUGGUGGGGGUAGAGGUGGGACAGUUACCGAUGGAGGGCAGCGCGAGCGCGGCGGCGUGUCGCGCCAGUGCGUGGUGGUGGGGGUGGGGGUAGAGGUGGGACAGUUACCGAUGGAGGGCAGCGCGAGCGCGGCGGCGUGUCGCGCCAGUGCGUGGUGGUGGGGGUAGAGGUGGGACAGUUACCGAUGGAGGGCAGCGCGAGCGCGGCGGCGUGUCGCGCCAGUGCGUGGUGGUGGGGGUAGAGGUGGGACAGUUACCGAUGGAGGGCAGCGCGAGCGCGGCGGCGUGUCGCGCCAGUGCGUGGUGGUGGGGGUGGGGGUAGAGGUGGGACAGUUACCGAUGGAGGGCAGCGCGAGCGCGGCGGCGUGUCGCGCCAGUGCGUGGUGGUGGGGGUAGAGGUGGGACAGUUACCGAUGGAGGGCAGCGCGAGCGCGGCGGCGUGUCGCGCCAGUGCGUGGUGGUGGGGGUGGGGGUAGAGGUGGGACAGUUACCGAUGGAGGGCAGCGCGAGCGCGGCGGCGUGUCGCGCCAGUGCGUGGUGGUGGGGGUGGGGGUAGAGGUGGGACAGUUACCGAUGGAGGGCAGCGCGAGCGCGGCGGCGUGUCGCGCCAGUGCGUGGUGGUGGGGGUAGAGGUGGGACAGUUACCGAUGGA
Spodoptera frugiperda (fall armyworm) is the source of this 2511-nucleotide long non-coding RNA. RefSeq lists it as uncharacterized. The transcript has 6 exons. The record is from RefSeq and is a predicted model, not a curated record. NCBI's taxonomy places the organism in Eukaryota, Metazoa, Arthropoda, Insecta, Lepidoptera, Noctuidae.